Long non-coding RNA from Hyla sarda, 815 nucleotides. RefSeq lists it as uncharacterized. The transcript is spliced from 4 exons. The record is from RefSeq and is a predicted model, not a curated record. Lineage: Eukaryota; Metazoa; Chordata; Amphibia; Anura; Hylidae.
AGAGAACAAUGUUACUAUAAGAACUAGGACGGGAGGGGCAUUGACUAAAAGAAGGGAAGGAACAAUCAAUCAGUGCUAGAUCAUUAAGUCUUCGCACUUCACAUGCAACGGCAGAGGAUCGGUGAAUAUUCACACGGGUUGCAUGGAACUGGUUCCACUUCUCCGCAGACACCUAAACCCCGAAACAGAAAGAUUAUCCUUUAAAGAGGAUACUGUUUAAUGGAAUAGCAUCAUCUACUAUGAUUGUUCAUCCACAUUUUUUGCAAGAUAAGGUACUUCCACCAGGUCUGGUGCUCCACUAUGUUCGGUAGUCCCAUAGACAGUAAUUGGACCAUUGGCCGAGCAUGUGUACUGCCGCUUCAUCCACUCGGAGGACGACUGACUUCCGUUCUUGUGAUCAGUGGGUUUCCCAGUGUUUGGACCCCCACAAAUCAGAUCGGUUUUAAUUUUGGGAAAACCCCUUUAAAAUGGCUUCACCAGAUACCAGGAUCCCACUGACGUAAAGGGAAACAAUUUCCAGCCUCAUAAUAGAAAGUAGUUGUCACCACGCCAGACUCAUCAUUGUCUGCUUCUCUUGGAAACAAGCCGAUAGGAAUAAACAUUUUACAGAAUGGCAUUUUGUUAGUCAAGAGACACCAAUUAAAUGGGUACAAAACUCCCCUUGUAAAUAAUUUAGCAGUGCCAGUGAAGUCAUAUAACACCAUUUAUAUAUGCGUUCUUCAUCAGUUGCUCACCAAGUGGUAAAUUAGAUGUCGGCGUGCCAUCAUGCCAAUUUGGUUUACAGACACUUAGAAAUCAGUCAGCUGCAUGCCACG